GCUUUACUGUAACUUGAAAUUGGGUUCCGGUUUUGUUUGCGCAGUAUAGGUGGGAGGCUAUGAUGAUGUACUUGUGGGUAUAUAAGAGCCGUUAGUGAGAUACCACUCUGACAAAUCUAGAAUUCUAACUUUGCUUCCGUUACCCGGACAAAGAACAUUUUCAGGUGGGCAGUUUGACUGGGGCGGUCGCCUCCUAAAAGGUAACGGAGGCGUGCAAAGGUUCCUUCAGGCUGGUUGGAAAUCAGUCGUAGAGUGUAAAGGCAUAAAGGAGCUUGACUGUAAGACUUACAAGUCGAACAGGGACGAAAGUCGGCCUUAGUGAUCCGACAGUUCCGAGUGGAAGGGCUGUCGCUCAACGGAUAAAAGUUA
RNAcentral lists this ribosomal RNA (369 nucleotides) under Visia cayennensis. RNAcentral describes it as "bacterial LSU rRNA". It matches the Rfam family "Bacterial large subunit ribosomal RNA", at positions 2098 to 2465 of the family's 2925-position model. Lineage: Eukaryota; Rhodophyta; Florideophyceae; Batrachospermales; Batrachospermaceae. The record is from RNAcentral.